CGUUGGGGGACGUCGCGGCAAGUACUAGGCUCAUAACCCAAAGGUCGUCGGUUCAAAUCCGACCCCCGCAACCA
This 74-nucleotide transfer RNA is filed under the name Candidatus Rokuibacteriota bacterium. RNAcentral describes it as "Candidatus Rokubacteria bacterium tRNA-Met". The record is from RNAcentral. Lineage: Bacteria; Candidatus Rokuibacteriota.